UACGUAGGGGGCAAGCGUUGUCCGGAAUCAUUGGGCGUAAAGAGCGCGUAGGCGGUCCGGUAAGUCCGCUCUGAAAGUCCGGGGCUCAACCCCGGGAGGCGGGCGGAUACUGUCGGGCUAGAGUCCGGAAGAGGCGAGUGGAAUUCCUGGUGUAGUGGUGAAAUGCGCAGAUAUCAGGAGGAACACCAAUGGCGAAGGCAGAUCUCUGGGCCGUAACUGACGCUGAGGAGCGAAAGCGUGGGGAGCGAACAGG
Molecule: ribosomal RNA, 253 nt
Filed under: uncultured bacterium
Lineage: Bacteria
Description: partial 16S ribosomal RNA
Rfam family: Bacterial small subunit ribosomal RNA
Source: RNAcentral